RNAcentral lists this ribosomal RNA (253 nucleotides) under uncultured bacterium. Its description in RNAcentral is "partial 16S ribosomal RNA". It matches the Rfam family "Bacterial small subunit ribosomal RNA", at positions 524 to 776 of the family's 1533-position model. The record is from RNAcentral.
GACAGAGGGUGCAAACGUUGUUCGGAAUUACUGGGCGUAAAGCGAGUGUAGGCGGUUUGGUAAGUCGGAUGUGAAAGCCCCGGGCUCAACCCGGGAAGUGCACUCGAUACUGCCAAGCUAGAGUAUCGGAGAGGUUGGUGGAAUUCUCGGUGUAGAGGUGAAAUUCGUAGAUAUCGAGAGGAACACCGGUGGCGAAGGCGGCAUCCUGGACCAAUAUUGACGCUGAGGAGCGAAAGCCAGGGGAGCAAACGGG